CAGAGUUAUCUAACUCCCAAACCCAUGUGAACUUACCAUUUGUUGCCUCGGCAGAGCCUACCCGGUAACUGUUCGGAGAAGCUACCCUGUAGCUACCCUGUAACGGCCUACCCUGUAACGUCCUGCCGGUGGACUUUUAAACUCUUGUUAUUUUAUAGUAAUCUGAGCGUCUUAUUUUAAUAAGUCA
Molecule: unclassified non-coding RNA, 187 nt
Filed under: uncultured Discosia
Lineage: Eukaryota; Fungi; Ascomycota; Sordariomycetes; Amphisphaeriales; Amphisphaeriaceae
Description: sequence contains ITS1
Source: RNAcentral